Molecule: ribosomal RNA, 309 nt
Filed under: Triticum aestivum (bread wheat)
Lineage: Eukaryota; Viridiplantae; Streptophyta; Magnoliopsida; Poales; Poaceae
Description: partial small subunit ribosomal RNA
Source: RNAcentral
GGAGGACACCAUCAACGGAGCGGUGAGGACGAUUCACAGCUCAAUGCGCUUGGCGAGGGGAGACCAUUGGACGGCCCACGGUCGCCGUGUCCCAAAGAGGACCUAACCAAACUUGAUGUUACAAGCUACACCCGUUGUCACCUGAAGUUAUCUCACGCCAAGCGAGGAUCAACAUUGGUGAUGCCUUAUAGUACAGGCUGUAGAACUGCAUUGUCAAAUUUUGAGGCAGAGCUGGACUAUAGGUAUGUUUCAGAUCCAACAAUCAUGGUGUCUUUCCCUAUUAUCGAUGAUGCGGACAAUGCAUCUCUU